UGGGCAACCUGCCCCGAUGACUGGGACAACCCGAGGAAACUCGGGCUAAUACCGGAUGUGCUCCCUCACAUCAGUGAGGUGAGUAAAGGAAGCUUCGGCCUCCGCAUUGGGAUGGGCCCGCGGCCCAUUAGCUUGUUGGUGGGGUAAUGGCCUACCAAGGCAACGAUGGGUAGCUGGUCUGAGAGGACGAUCAGCCACACUGGGACUGAGACACGGCCCAGACUCCGUAGGGAGG
Molecule: ribosomal RNA, 235 nt
Filed under: uncultured bacterium
Lineage: Bacteria
Description: partial 16S ribosomal RNA
Rfam family: Bacterial small subunit ribosomal RNA
Source: RNAcentral